Molecule: ribosomal RNA, 402 nt
Filed under: uncultured bacterium
Lineage: Bacteria
Description: bacterial SSU rRNA
Rfam family: Bacterial small subunit ribosomal RNA
Source: RNAcentral
GUGGGGAAUAUUGGACAAUGGGCGAAAGCCUGAUCCAGCAAUGCCGCGUGGGGGACGAAGGCCUUCGGGUUGUAAACCCCUUUCAGCAGGGACGAACAUGACGGUACCUGCCGAAGAAGCCCCGGCCAACUACGUGCCAGCAGCCGCGGUAAUACGUAGGGGGCGAGCGUUGUCCGGAUUUAUUGGGCGUAAAGAGCUCGUAGGCGGUUUGGCAAGUCGGGUGUGAAAACUCCGGGCUCAACUCGGAGACGCCACUCGAUACUGCUAUGACUCGAGUCCGGUAGGGGAGUGCGGAAUUCCUGGUGUAGCGGUGAAAUGCGCAGAUAUCAGGAGGGACACCGGUGGCGAAGGCGGCACUCUGGGCCGGAACUGACGCUGAGGAGCGAAAGCGUGGGGAGCGAA